AAUCCUACGGGAGGCAGCAGUGGGGGAUAUUGGACAAUGGGGGAAACCCUGAUCCAGCGAUGCCGCGUGAGGGAAGAAGGUUUUCGGAUUGUAAACCUCUGUGGAGGGGGACGAUAAUGACGGUACCCCUUUAGGAAGCCACGGCUAACUACGUGCCAGCAGCCGCGGUAAUACGUAGGUGGCGAGCGUUGUCCGGAAUUACUGGGUGUAAAGGGAGUGUAGGCGGGAAAGCAAGUCAGAAGUGAAAACUAUGGGCUUAACUUGUAGACUGCAGUUGAAACUGGUUUUCUUGAGUG
RNAcentral lists this ribosomal RNA (296 nucleotides) under uncultured bacterium. RNAcentral's name for it is "partial 16S ribosomal RNA". It matches the Rfam family "Bacterial small subunit ribosomal RNA", at positions 335 to 648 of the family's 1533-position model. The record is from RNAcentral.